Non-coding RNA from Vicugna pacos (alpaca), 518 nucleotides. The record is from RefSeq and is a predicted model, not a curated record. NCBI's taxonomy places the organism in Eukaryota, Metazoa, Chordata, Mammalia, Artiodactyla, Camelidae.
AACAUUGAAACCCAGAGUCACUAGUGCGGGCUGAAAGUGAAGGCUGGUACUUACUGAUGAAUAGCUUGCAAAAAUUUUCGUUGAUGUUUUCUUACUUUUGCAUGAUCUAUCUUUUUUACUAGCUUUGUAUUUUUGUAAAUUAGCCACGUUUCCCUGAGUACAUUGGCAGCUGCAUUUUUCACCUGUUAAGAAAACAAACACAGCAGUUGAUAAAUUCCAGAGCAGAACCGUCUGAAACCUGGAGGUCAGUCAUGUCCUUCUUCCCAAAGAUCAUGGAGAACACACAGCAAUGUCUGGAGGCAUUGGUUGUCACACAUUGAGGGACGUGCUACUAGCAUCUAAGGAUACUGCUGAACAUCCCACGAGGCACGAGAGUCCCACACGACAAAUAUCCAGCCCAGAAGCUCAGUAGUGACAAGUCUACCCUUGACAGUGACCAGAACUGCAGCCCCCCACUCAGCUCACUUACGUGGGAGGGCUUGUGUUCUUCUCUAACACUGAGAAAUGUUCACCAGUUU